GCAGGUAUGGCGGAAUUGGCAGACGCGUACGGUUCAGGUCCGUAUGAGGGCAACUUCAUGCAGGUUCAAGUCCUGUUACCUGCACCA
RNAcentral lists this transfer RNA (87 nucleotides) under Candidatus Scatovicinus merdipullorum. RNAcentral's name for it is "tRNA-Leu". It matches the Rfam family "tRNA". From Rfam's summary of the family: Transfer RNA (tRNA) molecules are approximately 80 nucleotides in length. Their secondary structure includes four short double-helical elements and three loops (D, anti-codon, and T loops). Further hydrogen bonds mediate the characteristic L-shaped molecular structure. tRNAs have two regions of fundamental functional importance: the anti-codon, which is responsible for specific mRNA codon recognition, and the 3' end, to which the tRNAs corresponding amino acid is attached (by aminoacyl-tRNA synthetases). tRNAs cope with the degeneracy of the genetic code in two manners: having more than one tRNA (with a specific anti-codon) for a particular amino acid; and 'wobble' base-pairing, i.e. permitting non-standard base-pairing at the 3rd anti-codon position. The record is from RNAcentral. Lineage: Bacteria; Bacillati; Bacillota; Clostridia; Eubacteriales; Oscillospiraceae. RNAcentral also lists the same sequence under 3 other names.